Molecule: microRNA precursor, 77 nt
Filed under: Schistosoma margrebowiei
Lineage: Eukaryota; Metazoa; Platyhelminthes; Trematoda; Strigeidida; Schistosomatidae
Description: mir-3492 microRNA precursor family
Rfam family: mir-3492 microRNA precursor family
Source: Rfam by way of RNAcentral
ACUCUCUGUAUCUGUGCCGAGAUUUCGUCACACACCAGAACAAAAGAGCUGAUGAGACUCCCAAGAUAGGUGAAACA